Cavia aperea (Brazilian guinea pig) is the source of this 101-nucleotide unclassified non-coding RNA. Its record names the gene Vault. It matches the Rfam family "Vault RNA". From Rfam's summary of the family: This family of RNAs are found as part of the enigmatic vault ribonucleoprotein complex. The complex consists of a major vault protein (MVP), two minor vault proteins (VPARP and TEP1), and several small untranslated RNA molecules. It has been suggested that the vault complex is involved in drug resistance. Lineage: Eukaryota; Metazoa; Chordata; Mammalia; Rodentia; Caviidae. The record is from Ensembl.
GGGCUGGCUUUAGCCCAACGGUUCCUUCAAGUCUGGCUUCCCAACCGCCCUGGCCGAUGGGUCCGGUGGUUCGAGACCCACGGGCACACUCCAGUCCUUUA